GAUGAAUCCAGUAGCGGGAAUGCUGGGGGAAAUGAAUGGUGGAAAAUAGUUAAUCGGAAAAGGAAGAAAACCGGUAGUCAAGGAUCAUUUACGGAUAGUGGAAAGGAGGAAGAAUUUGGUAGGUGGCGGUAAUGCACCAUAAGCUGGUUUGCCAACCGCCAUAAAAAUUCAGAAGAAGAAGAGAUGUCAAAACGAGAUGUUGUUGGCAAGAUGGCGGCUUGCGUGGAGAGGCAACGGGACAGACGAGACACACGUGUGUUUAUCUGCUGCAGAGAGACUGAUCAAGGAAUGCUGCCAUCAAAGCCUCUCAAUCUUUUGUGGUGGAGCAGGACUUGCAAGGAAAGGUGACAUUUGUGAAAAAAGGGAAACCCUGAAACAAAAGGAUAACCACAGCAGCAUCCUGGAAAUGGUCCAGUGACACAGAUGAGACGCUCCAUCACUCCACCUCUUACUGCCUCAUCUGGACCGGAUGUUGCUGUGGUCUCUUCAUUCUCAGUGACCCCAGAGCCAGCGAGAGCAUCUAGAGAAAGAAAGACCUGAAGCGUCUACAAUCCCCCGAUCAACCUGGAGGAAAGAGCCUUGCUCAAGGGCAUACUGAUGGUUUAGAACCCGCGACCUUCUGCUCACCAGUUCAGUGGUUUAGCCCACAACAAAAGUAGUCGUGCUCAUGGAGAGCAGACACACGAUUGAAUGAAGCUUUGUUUCAUCUGUUGUUGACUUGUAUAUGUAUGUAUUUAUUGUGAUGCUUUUAUUCAUUCCUUUACUUAUUUAUUCAUGUUUCUUAUUGUUGUCAGUAAACAAAAUAUAAAUAUUUUAUUUAUGUAUUAAUUGCUUGACUGAAAAUUCAUGUAUUCACAUCGACUGCAUUUGUUCAACUAGUGUAUAUUCAUGUAUAGCUAUGUCACGACAAAAAAAAUACAUUUAGCUUGUUUAACUAAAAUGUAAUUUUAAGGGAAAAAAAGUAAUAAUUAUUGGUUGGCAUUUAUCAUUAUUAUUGCAUGUAAGUGUUGGGGUGAGCAAACGAUGCAAUUCAUUCUGGGGUAAUCUUAAUUUUGAAGUAGUAAUAUUUACAUUUUUAGAGUAUAAAAUCUUCUCCAAAGUCAAGAUCUUCUAGCAGCUGAUCGACGUUUCCUUUGUGAUUUUACACAACCGUUCCAUAAAUAAGGAGUUAAUAUGAUGUUAUAUUUUAAAAUAUAACACAAUUCUAUGUAAGUUAUAUUACUGGGUUUUAUAUAUUAUAUACUAUAUCAUUGUGUAAUUAUAUUAUUGUGUUAUAUACAGUAUAACACAAUAUUGUCUGUUUUUGCUCUGUUUUGCCAAUAAAAAUAUUACCUAUACACUAAAGCCACAGCAGAAUUGUUGCGCAUCUCAUAGAGACACAGCUGUGUUUAGUUUUUGAAUGAAUCCGCGUUUUGAACGAAUCUGGUGAACCAAUGAUUCAAAAGCCCAUUCAUAAAGUGAGCCGUUUGAACUAAUCGAAUAAAUGAUUCAUAAGGACAUUUACCGCCACCUGCUGGCAGUUUUAGUGUCUUAUUUAGAGUAUUAUUUCACAAAAAUAAAAAAAGGGGGGGGGGGGGAAACACUUUAAAGGUAUUGUUCAUCCCAAAAAUAUUAAUUAUGUCAUCAUUUACUCAAACCUGAAUGACACUUUCUUUUGUGGAACAUAAAAGAAGGUAUUUUGAAGAUUUGGUUACCAACGACUUCCAUUGCAUAAAUGAAAAAACUGAGAUGUUUCUCAAAUUAUCUUCUUUUAUGUUGAAUAGUUUAUGUAAAGCCGUUGUAGCCUAAACGUGUAAUAAAAUUUAUGUUAAAUGAAAUAAUUUCUUUUUUGGGGGGUAUUUUCACAACCAAAUGUAGUUUGUGAUUAAUUAGAUCAAUUAAUCGACACAGUGUAAUUCAUAAGAUGAAAAAUAUGUAUCAACUGACAGUCCUAAUAUAUUUAUUUAUUUAUUUAUUUAUUUUUUUUUAAUGUAUUAAAUAGUUGUUUUUUUUCAGUAUGCUCUGUACAUGGUCCUUGAGAUGCCCUUUGAUUUCUCAGCUGUAAGUUGUUGUUUAAAAAGAUAAUUGGGACUUAAUUCAAUUUGAUGAUAUAUUAAUAUUUGCUUUUCCUUAUUUGUCAGUUUGAUUUUCGUCUAAUACUAAAAUGGUGGUGCCUCAUUCUCUUGAAAUAUUUUGCACUUGAAAGGUAUCUUUUUCUCACUUACGUUUUUCUCUGUCCAGACUACGAAUUACCAUAAUUAUUUUCACAGGAAACAUGUCCUCACUGUGUGCAAGUACCAGAAGUGUGCAGGAGACUGGAAUCUGCAACAGGGAGCCAAGGAUAACAAAAGACCUCCACACUGCAGUUGGAUGGCUGCAGAAAAACCUCUGUGUCUUCAGAGAUUUGGUGAGAGAGCUGAGGUUCCUCCAACUGAAAGAGGAAGACCAGAAGAGAGCUCUUCUUCAGCUUUCACAGGCCUAAAUGGCUGACGAACAGCAACUGGCCAAAGAACCUUUUGUUUUCCAAUUCCAAUAUAAGGAUAAUAUAGACAGUUUUCUCGAUGAGUGCAUGGACAAAAGGGGCCUAAAAUAAAUUGCAUGUUUCUCGAGUUCUGAUUUAUUUUAUUUUUCUUUUAUCAGUUUUGAUAAUUAUUGUUAAAUGUGUGCCUGCUUUGCUUUAACAUUUGUUUGUUUUUUUAUUUAUCUUUUGCUACUUAUGUAUGAUAAUGUGUAUUUUGUAAUUGUAAAAUAAUAAUAAUAAUAAUAAUAAUAAUAAAAUUAAAAUAUUCAAAUCAUCAAGCUUUCUUUUGUCUAUCUACCUCAUCUAUCUAUCUAUCAUCUGAUUAAAUCCUUAAAAUAAAAUGCUGACUUGACAUCAACGUAGAUUAACACUUUUAAAAAAAAAUUCUCUCCUUGUUCUUGAUUUUACUUUUAUUUUUCAGUGUGUCAUUGCGGUUUUCAGAUAUUAUGUUGUAAAGCACAUUGGUCAACUGGUUGUAGUAAAUACUGCUAUAUAAAUACAAUUGCCAUUUCCAUCCAAAGCACUACGAGGCGCUAUGCCUAGCAAGAUAACUUUUGCUCGUGGCGCUGAGACUGCAGUCAGAGCC
This is a long non-coding RNA of Cyprinus carpio carpio, 3086 nucleotides long. NCBI's taxonomy places the organism in Eukaryota, Metazoa, Chordata, Actinopteri, Cypriniformes, Cyprinidae. The record is from Ensembl.